Felis catus (domestic cat) is the source of this 1556-nucleotide long non-coding RNA. RefSeq lists it as uncharacterized. NCBI's taxonomy places the organism in Eukaryota, Metazoa, Chordata, Mammalia, Carnivora, Felidae. The transcript has 2 exons. The record is from RefSeq and is a predicted model, not a curated record.
CGGGCCUGGUGAGCCCCCCGCUGUCCCGCCGUCCCCAGAGCCGCGGGCCGCCGGCGACCCCGUGUCCUCCCAGCGUCCCUUGCGGCAGCGGGAGGCCAGGGUCGUGUUGAGGUCACCGUGACGGGGAAACCGGGAGGCCGCGGGCUUCCCUUCCAGAAGCCUCCGAAGAGAGGUGCCGGGGCGCCCGGGGCUUGUGCAGGGGCGCGAUGCCCGAGGCACCGGAGCCAGCCGGGGCCACGUCGGGGGACGGAGGGGGGCGGCUGCCUCUAAGAACGCGGAGCCAGAAGACGGGGCCGGGUCGCGGGCGACUCGGGCGAGCCGCCGUCCUCCGCCGUUGUGGGGGUGACAGUGGCCGACGGCCCGCGGGACCCCCGCCUGGCACGGCUGCCUCCCCCCACCGACCCCCCGCGAAGGAGGGCCGGCGGGGACGGCGGUGUGGCCGCGCGGGGCCCAGGGGCGGCCGGCCGGGGUCGCCCCGCUCCCGCUCCCGCUCCCGCUCCCGCGCCUCGGCUGAGCCAGGAGCCGGACGCUUCUGGAGAGGGGGGCGCACCCCGCCUGCCGAGGCGAGGACCCCGGAGGGGAGGCCCGAGGCCGCCCCGCUUCGCUGCUUCGCCCUAACCGCGUUGUCCCUGCGCCCAGGCUGCUGACAGGGGGGGAAAGGCGCGCUCUGCGACCGUAACGCCCCUGCGUCGUGUGCGACCCUGGCCACCGACAACCACUGAAGUAGGGAGGAGACAGAUGGCAGAAGAGGAUGGUCGCCGAGCCCGUCAUAUCUCGGAAAGGAAGGACACGCAGCCCUGCGCGGGGACCUCAUCUCUGCGACCCGACGGGUGGCCGUGGCCCACUCCCACGGAGUGGCCCUCCGCCAGCCCCUCGUCAGGCUGCACCUCCGCCUGGUGCGGCGACCUAGACCGCCAUCCCCGAGGACUCCGAGCUCCCGCUGACCCCGCCGGCCUCGGGCCACCGCCGUCUUCGCCAACCGGGUCCCCUGGGCAUGGGAGUCCUGGGAAGGGCUGUGGUUACAUCGUCUUCCUUCCCGCCCCUGCCGUGUACCGGCUGUCCCACGUCCCCUCGUCCCCUCGGUAGUCCGGAAGUCAGACCCUGGCUCUUCCUCGAACCUGCCGGGUGACUUGCACAUGUUGCUUAAUGUCCCCGUGACUCAGCGUCUUUGCUGGAGAAAUGGGAAUAACCCUUGCCACAUGUGUCAUAGGAAACUUCGCGAGCUCACCGGUGCAGGCUGGAGGUGCGGAAGCGGGCAGGUGUGACCGGGCCUAUGGGGAGUGUGGCCUACCUGCUCCUGGCAAUUUACCUGGGCUCAAGGUGACAUGGCUUUGCUCCAAAACCCGGACCCCCCCCCAUCUCUCUCUUCCAUUAGUGCUUGCCAGGACCAGGAGGCAGAGGAGCAGGACGGAAUGGGGUUCCCGCUUCUGCUCUGGGACCCCCACAGCAGUCCCGAACUUCUUGCCUCUGGACUCCUUUUAACGGAAAAACUCUUGAUUACGUCACUGUUCUUCCCUGUUGCUGUUACUUGAAGUAAAAGGCAAUUACCUAAUUGA